Molecule: long non-coding RNA, 1594 nt
Organism: Clupea harengus (Atlantic herring)
Lineage: Eukaryota; Metazoa; Chordata; Actinopteri; Clupeiformes; Clupeidae
Source: Ensembl
CAAAGUAGACACUUGAACUUGAACAUAAAUGUUCAUUUCUAGUUUUGGGAACUUCUUGGAUUUCUGGAGUAAUGGUGGCCAAAAACGGGUGUCUCUUUUUUUACAUCUAUUUAUUGUUUAUUUAUAUAUUUAUUCUAUAGUUCACCUUAUAGUUUAAACACAUAACAGGGCUGGUGAGUUAUUUGACACUGUUGUUUGUUGUAUUGGGUGGCAUAAGUCGAUCUUUGCACUCUCAAUAAAAACACUAUCUGGACAGGGACCAAUGGAAAAGAAUCAAACCCUACAGCCAGCAUUGAGACCUGAUCAUCAACCUGAACUGUCUCGAUAGAUAAUAACGUGAAACGUUACAGUGUCACUGAACAGUCAAAGUAUAAGGUUUACACAAGAGCCAUCUCUAUUUUCUUGUCUAUCUCUAUGCGCGGCCUUAUUUUAGUGCACAUCGAGAGUGUGUGUGUGUGUAAGUUAUUUUAACGUAUUUUUUUUCAUGUUGUGUUUUGUCUGAUGAUUCCAAUUUUAUUUUACCUAAUGCGCAUCUUACCAGUGUUUUUUUUCCUUACUCAUGUUUUGCAUGUUACCAUGUUGUUUUGUUAUUUUUCAGUCUUCUCGUGGGAAUGAUGCUGACAAUGACUUUUUGAAAUGUCUCUUUUUGUCUGUUUUCGGCUCGGAGCCAUUGUGUCCUGAAACGGCCCCACUGUUGCGCUUGGAAAUGAGAAAGACUUUUGAUAUAUUUUGUCCACGGAAACAAAAAAAUCACACACCUAUGGAUCCCAACUGAGACAACAUGGACCAUAGCCUACACCACUGAAGUGAAUAGUAUUUCCAUUGGUAUUCUCUGAUAUUAAAACUGCCUGUAUUUGAAAUGAAUACACUUCUUUUGCCAACCAUCAGAAUUGAGGUGCACUGUAUAUAAAUAUCCAAUCAUACUGCACAACCUCUGGAUCAUUAUUAUGUCCACAGUGUACAGUAUGUAUACAUAGUUUUGUUUGUUCUUUUUGUGCCCAUUGAUAUUGUGGAGUUUUGUUUUUCAUCUGAUCUCAUUGAGGGAGGUGCAACUCCAUGUGACAUAGAUGUUCCCCGUGCCAAGCUGUGCCAUGUCUCACUUUUUACUGCGUCAGUCUCAAUCUUUUUUUAAAUUUUUUUUUUAUGUUGUUUUUAAAAAGGAAACAAAAAAGUGAAUCUUGCACUAUUGUUCAUCUUUACAAUAACUGCAACUACAGAGCAUGUAUUGCAUUAAAUCACAAUAAAAUGAUUUCCUUCAUCGUCCAAUGACACAGGAGAAGAUACGUUUGUGUGAAUUGAGAAACAUAUCUGUACAUUCCAAGUGAUGCAUUUUGUACAUAUAGUAAAGUAUUUGGAAAACCUAGUUGGUCUUGUUUUAAUUUCUUCUCUCAGACUCACAUGUUGGUGUUUUCAGUUCUUGAUGUGAGCAGUUACUGCGAGAUAAAGCAGCUAAAAUCAAUAAAGGUCUUGUAAUUAAACAAAAAUCAUUAAAGGUCUUGUAAUUAAACAAAAAUCACUGAAGGUCUUGUAAUUAAACAAAAAUCAUUAAAGGUAUUGUAAUUAAACAAAUAUAUUGUGUUGCCUGCUGUUGUGA